This 2595-nucleotide long non-coding RNA is filed under the name Malus domestica (apple). Its description in RNAcentral is "long non-coding RNA (MDOM_LNC021039)". Lineage: Eukaryota; Viridiplantae; Streptophyta; Magnoliopsida; Rosales; Rosaceae. The record is from RNAcentral.
CUUUUUGUUUUUGAGUCAGUUUAGAGGUUUUAGCAAGCCCUCCUAAUCCCCGGUUUAGAACGAUACCCUACUUAUAUCUAUACUACAAUUGUCAAAAAGAGGGUUUAAUUUGUGUGCUUAUAAUAUUUCGCAUCAAAAAACGCUAAAUCACUAGCCAAUAUAGAAGGAAAAAGGUUUUUAUCACAAAUGGUCCCUAAAAUUGAUCAAACUCGGCAUUUUGGUCCCUCACUUUCAAAAUCAAUCAAUGUCGUCCCUGACAUUCACUACCGCACAUCAAUUUGGUCAUUCUGUUAAGUUUCCUUUAACUAUUCUGUUAGUUUGUAUGUGGAACCUACAAAUCCAAUAAAAUGGCGACAUGUAAAUUACACAAAAUAAGGAUUUUUAUCACAAAUAGUCCCAAACAUUGAUCCAACUCCUCAUUUUUGUCCCUGAGUUUCAAAAAUCAAUAAAUUUGGUCCCUUACUUUGAAUACCACAUGUCAAUUUAAUCCUUCCAUUGAAGUUUCAUCAAUAUUUUUUGUCCCACUAAUCCAAUCGUAUGGCUCCACAUAGAUUAACUAUAAGAAACUAUUUUUUAAGAUUUAAAACUAAACGUAAAGUAAGAAACUAAAAACCAAAACUAAAGGAAAGAAAAUCGUCAUCGUCGUCUUCAUCAUCAGGGUAUCUCAAAAAGAAAAGGAAGGCAAUAUGACACUACUAAAGUACUUGGCCCCCCUAAACUCACUCCUCAGUUGGUUAUAAUCCUAUCAAAUUUGAAUUGGAUUUGGAUUUGAUUUUAUCGAAUUUAGAUUGGGUUAUUUAUUUAUUUAUUUAUUUUUAUCAAUUGGGAUGCAAGAAAUGCUAGCCCAGAAUACUCGUUCGUUGGUUCACUUUUAAAAAAAUAGUUUCUUAUAGUUAAUCCAAGUGGAGCCAUAUGAUUGGAUUAGUGGGACCACAUCAGCUCACAAACGAAAAAUAUUGAUGAAAUUUUAAAGGAAUGACUAAAUUCAUGUGCGAUAGUGAAAGUUAGGACCAAAUUUAUUGAUUUUUGAAACUUAGGGACCAAAAUGAGGAGUUUGAUCAAUGUUAGGGACCAUUUGCGAUAAAAACUCUUAUUUUGUGUAAUCCACGUGUCACAAUUUCAUUGAAUUUGUGGGUCCCACAUAAAAACUAACAUAAUAGUUGACGAAAUCUUAACGGAAUGACCAAAUUGAUGUGCGAUAGUGAAUGUCAGGGAUGACAUUGAUUGAUGUUGAAAGUGAGGGACCAAAAUGAUGAGCUUGAUCAAUCUCAGGGACUGUGGAUGCAAAUUUUCUCUUCCUCGAUCUUGGAUGAUUUUGCACCUACAAAACAACUAGCACCUUAGGUUAAGGCCAAAAGCCUCAUGCGCCCACGAUGAAUGGGGAGAGGGCUUUGGCCGAAGAACCUCCGAUGCCAAAGUUAGAAUUUUAGAGAGAAAUAGUGUUUAGAGUACUUGAGAUUUUUUGUAAGAGAAUUGGAAUUAGUGUUUGGUGAAAAUGGGAACCAAUUUAUAGGAGAGGAAAGGGUGGCCGGCCUUUAAGCCUAGGGUGAUUUAUUUUGGGGGGUUAUGGAGAUAAUGGGCUAGUUAUUUUGGGGAGUUAUGGAAAUAAUUGGCUAGUUAAUUAGCAAAUAAUAAUAACCUAAUUAACUAGCUAUUUGAAUGUCAUAAAAGGGAAAGAAAAUGGUAGCAAAAAACAGAAAAUAGAAGGCAUGGCCGGCCCUAGUGGGUAACCGGCCUUUGGCAUGUUUUUUGGUUAUAAUUUGGUAGUUUAGUUGAUAAUUAAGGGAUUGAUUAGGUAAUUAAUCCCUUAAUUAGUCAAUUUUAGGAAAUAUGAAAGGAAAAUACUAUUUAGCUAAUUUAUUAGCUAAAUAAUGGAAUAUAAAGCAUAUAGAAUAAAUUAGAUUUUUGGGAAUUACCUUAUAGAAAGGAUUUGAUGAAAUAGGCUUUAAAUUGUUACCUAUUUUGGACACUUUUGACUUGGUUGAAAGAUGAUUGCCCGCUGCUCGCGUGUAGGAAUCCCGGUAUGCCUCAAGGGUAUUUUUGUCCUCUUUUGUCCAAAAGUUCACGUGUCGCCUAGUGAAUAUCUUUGGCUCCACAAAUGCCCCACACCUGCUGGGCUGUUUGUAGAAAAGGGCAACAGGUGUAGAGAUUUUCUUGCUUUAGGAAACUCUGAAUUGCUUCCUAUUUUGUUGUUGAUUCUCUCUUUUAAUGGGAAAUUUAAUCCUUCUAGGAAAAGGAAAUAAAUUUCCUCAAAGCUUAUUUAAGUCCACCUUAAGUGGAUUAUUAAAUCAACUUUUAGAGAGAAACUUAUUCAACCUUACAAGAAAGAAAGAGAGCUUAAAGGAUAUUUGUUCCCCCUCCUCUAGCAAUUUUCCACGUCUUGCCCAUGUAAAGGAUCGUCUUUCGUUGCGUGCUUCGUCUUCUCGUUGUUUCUAGGUGAGAAAAAUUUAAUUUUUCUAUCUUCGUAAUUUUCUUGGAAGUCUUGGGACUUGAAAUUGGCUCGACGGGGGUCGAGGGGUUUUGACAAUGGACCUAGGGAGGUUGCGGCACUGUUUGCUGUGCCUGGGCUAUAAGGAAGGAAGAGGUGUGGGCCGC